RNAcentral lists this ribosomal RNA (301 nucleotides) under uncultured bacterium. Its description in RNAcentral is "partial 16S ribosomal RNA". It matches the Rfam family "Bacterial small subunit ribosomal RNA", at positions 509 to 807 of the family's 1533-position model. The record is from RNAcentral.
CAGUAGCCGCGGUAAUACGAAGGGGGCUAGCGUUGUUCGGAAUUACUGGGCGUAAAGCGCACGUAGGCGGAUAUUUAAGUCAGGGGUGAAAUCCCGCAGCUCAACUGCGGAACUGCCUUUGAUACUGGGUAUCUUGAGUAUGGAAGAGGUUAGUGGAAUUGCGAGUGUAGAGGUGAAAUUCGUAGAUAUUCGCAGGAACACCAGUGGCGAAGGCGGCUAACUGGUCCAUAACUGACGCUGAGGUGCGAAAGCGUGGGGAGCAAACAGGAUUAGAUACCCCGGUAGUCCCUGUCUCUUAUAC